Molecule: RNA transcript, 567 nt
Organism: Mirounga angustirostris (Northern elephant seal)
Lineage: Eukaryota; Metazoa; Chordata; Mammalia; Carnivora; Phocidae
Gene name: large ribosomal subunit protein P1-like
Exons: 2
Source: RefSeq, a predicted model, not a curated record
UGUCACCACCCAUCUCUGGCAGUUGGGGAGGGGGUUAUGACUUCAUUUCAGCAGUGGCGUCUCUCCUGGAUUAGAUGGGAACUCUCUGGGAAGCUUCCUACAGCAGCUGCUUUCACGCAGGGAAACAGGCUGCACUAAGGUGCUUGAUCCUUCUGAGGAAGCUAAGGCCAGGCUGGGGUGAGGCCCUCACUUCAUCUAGCAACUACGCUGUGCCCAGCAGCGCCAGCCCAACACUCGCAUGCCCUUCUCGGAGCUCGCCUGCAUCUACUCGGCCCUCAUCCUGCUCCAGGAUGAGGUGACGGUCACAUGGAGGAUAAGAGCAAUGCCCUCAUUAAAGGCCGGUGUAAGUGUUGAACUUUUAGGGCCGGGCUUGUUUGCAAAGGCCCUGGCCAAUGUCAACAUCAGGAGCCCCAUCUGCAAUAUAGGGGCUGGUGGACCUGCCCCAGCAGCUGGACCUGGCCCCCUCCCCUCCCCCUACAGCACAGCUGCCCCAGCCGAGGAGGAGGUGGAAGCAAAGAAGAGUCAGAGGAGUCUGAUGAUGACAUGGGCUUUGGUCUUUCCAACUAA